GCGACUGUAGAAAUAAUAAUAAAAAGAAACAGUCAAUCAUGUGAGCACUAAUAAAAUUCACAUUACUGUGAACAAUUGAAAUAUUUUGUGCAUGAAAGUGAGUGUUAGGUGUGUUCCAAAGAUGCUGGCAUUCAAUCAGAAUGACUGCUGAGCUGAGAUUUUCUUUAAGUGUUUGAAACAUCACAGAAGGAAAUUAAAUGCAUUUUAUGACCUGACUGAUGUGUGUUAAGAUAUAGGUCCAUCAUUACACACCCGAAAGCAAAGGAACAAGCAUGGAACGGUAUACAAACUCUCCACUGCCAACAAAAUUCAACACUCUGAAGUUCACUGAACCACGCACAAGAGUAGGUGGGGAAAAGUGGAAAGAAGUGCUCGGUGAUGCAGUAUGAAGGUCUUCAUCCUGAAGUCUGGCAAGACGAGGUGAGCGCCGUACUUCUUCAGAGGUAUAAACCCGCCCCAAACGCGUAGCCACAGCUCUUGUGAUGUGACUUCCUGUUGAAGGUAGAGAUGUAUGACUACUGCCAGCAUUGCUGCUCACACUGCUACCACUAUCACCUGGACUGUUUGCCUGUGGACAAAUAUUACAGUGCUGGACUGAAAACAGAUUCAAAAGUAGAAUGGCAAAUAUUAAACUUGGAAAGAAAGUGUGUGCUAAUUUCAGACUUUAUGAUGAAGUCUUUUAGCAAAUAUACCUAGAAAUAUGAUAUUCUGUGCUCUAAGGGAUCAGAAUGUUCAUCACCAUCACUACUACAACACACCACUGGAUCAUGUGCUGAACUGUUAAAACACGUUCUCAUCCCAUAUGAAACUUCACACAAUACAUUUUGAUUCUAUCCUCCUAUCUGUAUUUAUUUGCUAAAUAUUGUAGUCACUUUCCUUCAAGUUUUUAACCAAAAAGUAUGUAAUUCUUGUAUCUCCUGAUGACCACUAAACAUACUAGGUGAAGAAUUAAA
Zootermopsis nevadensis is the source of this 953-nucleotide long non-coding RNA. RefSeq lists it as uncharacterized. Lineage: Eukaryota; Metazoa; Arthropoda; Insecta; Blattodea; Termopsidae. The record is from RefSeq and is a predicted model, not a curated record.